Rhamnusium bicolor is the source of this 75-nucleotide non-coding RNA. The record is from the annotation of a GenBank genome assembly. NCBI's taxonomy places the organism in Eukaryota, Metazoa, Arthropoda, Insecta, Coleoptera, Cerambycidae.
GGCUUCGUGGUCGAGUGGUAAGGACACUUGCCACUCACCUUGGAGUACCGGGUUCGAUCCCCGGGGACGAAGCUA